UAGGGAAUCUUCCACAAAUGGACGCAAGUCUGAUGGAGCAACGCCGCGUGAGUGAAGAAGGGUUUCGGCUCGUAAAGCUCUGUUGUUAAAGAAGAACGUGGGUAAGAGUAACUGUUUACCCAGUGACGGUAUUUAACCAGAAAGCCACGGCUAACUACGUCCCAG
RNAcentral lists this ribosomal RNA (165 nucleotides) under uncultured bacterium. RNAcentral describes it as "partial 16S rRNA". It matches the Rfam family "Bacterial small subunit ribosomal RNA", at positions 355 to 511 of the family's 1533-position model. The record is from RNAcentral.